CGUACCCCAAACCGACACAGGUGGAUGGGAUGAGAAUUCUAAGGCGCUUGAGAGAACUCGGGUGAAGGAACUAGGCAAAAUAGCACCGUAACUUCGGGAGAAGGUGUGCCCUUGUUAGGUGAAGCGACUUGCUCGUGGAGCUGAAGAGGGUUGCAGUGAACUGGUGGCUGCGACUGUUUAUUAAAAACACAGCACUGUGCAAACACGAAAGUGGACGUAUAGGGUGUGACGCCUGCCCGGUGCCGGAAGGUUAA
Molecule: ribosomal RNA, 254 nt
Filed under: Alexandrium margalefii
Lineage: Eukaryota; Dinophyceae; Gonyaulacales; Pyrocystaceae
Description: partial Bacterial large subunit ribosomal RNA
Rfam family: Bacterial large subunit ribosomal RNA
Source: RNAcentral